AAUGUUGUUGAGUUGGUCAUCUGAAAUUCCCUGCUCGCAUUCGGUGCUGUGAAACUGUUGUGUUUGGACGACUUGCUCCCGUUUUCGCCGGCUAUUCAUCCAAUUUAUCUAAAAUGUGGUGGAUUUGGCCGCUAGUUGCAUUUCUUUACUUGGCGAUGUUUUUUUUACGCUACUGUAAGGUAAAUCGGUUCAGACUUGGAGCCAGGAGAAGUGUACUCCCCAUAGACCAGAUAAGAUCAUUGAUUGCCACGGCGCAAUCCCGACUGCGAAGGGACAAGGUCAGUCGAUUUAGCAGAGGAGGGGAGCUCUCCUUCACCACUUCCAUUAGAAGACGAGGCAACCCACUAGCCUUUCUUGUCGUAUGCGUUGUAACCAACGGAAGAAACUAUGCAGCCAGGAUAAGAAACCUAGUGCUGCGCUUAACAAGAUACCUGAAGAGGUUAUUUAAGGAAUUAAAGAUUAGGGUCGUGAUCAAGUUUAGAAAUUAAAUUGAGCUUCACCUCGAAGCAGACACUUUUUUUGUCCGUUGUCGUAUAACAAAUUGACUUCAUUUUGGGUAGUUAUGCAUAUCCAAGGCUUCAUUUAAAUCCAUUUUAAAUAAUUAAUCUAUUUUCUUAAAUUAGUUGAGUUCAUUUAGUUUUAAAUCAUAGACAACCCUCGGGAAGCAAGGUCCGGUACCGAAAAACUACUCAUCGAGCAGUCUAGUAGCAAAUUGUGGGAUAGUCCUGUUUAUAUUAGAUGGGUGUGUCGUGGAUUCCUGGCUCCGUCUGUAAAUCUCUAAUAUCAAAAUAAUUUUAAAUCAUGUAAAGCUACAGUAUCUCUACUUUUAGUCUAAUUGGCAAAGAUUUUUUUACGUAAAUAAAGGAUCCUGUAAAUAUCC
Molecule: long non-coding RNA, 880 nt
Filed under: Hermetia illucens (black soldier fly)
Lineage: Eukaryota; Metazoa; Arthropoda; Insecta; Diptera; Stratiomyidae
Description: uncharacterized LOC119654820, transcript variant X4
Source: RNAcentral